AGUGAACGCUGGCGGUAGGCCUAACACAUGCAAGUCGAACGGCAGCACAGUAAGAGCUUGCUCUUACGGGUGGCGAGUGGCGGACGGGUGAGGAAUACAUCGGAAUCUACUUUUUCGUGGGGGAUAACGUAGGGAAACUUACUCUAAUACCGCAUACGACCUACGGGUGAAAGCAGGGGAUCUUCGGACCUUGCGCGAUUGAAUGAGCCGCUGUCGGAUUAGCUAGUUGGCGGGGUAAAGGCCCACCAAGGCGCCGAUCCGUAGCUGGUCUGAGUGGAUGGUCGGCCACCUGGGAACUGAGACACGGACCAGACUCCUACGGGACGGAGCAGUGGGGAAUAUGAGACAAUGGGGGCAAGCAUGAUCCAGCCAUACCGAGUGUGUUAAGGAGGCCCUGGGUGUGUGAAGACCGUCUGUGGGGAAAGAAAAGCAGCCGGUUAAUACCCCGCUGGUCUGACGGUAACCAAAGAAUAAGCACCGGCUAACUUCGUG
RNAcentral lists this ribosomal RNA (492 nucleotides) under uncultured bacterium. RNAcentral describes it as "partial 16S ribosomal RNA". It matches the Rfam family "Bacterial small subunit ribosomal RNA", at positions 29 to 507 of the family's 1533-position model. The record is from RNAcentral.